GGUUAAGCGACUAAGCGUACACGGUGGAUGCCCUGGCAGUCAGAGGCGAUGAAGGACGUGCUAAUCUGCGAUAAGCGUCGGUAAGGUGAUAUGAACCGUUAUAACCGGCGAUUUCCGAAUGGGGAAACCCAGUGUGAUUCGUCACACUAUCAUUAACUGAAUCCAUAGGUUAAUGAGGCGAACCGGGGGAACUGAAACAUCUAAGUACCCCGAGGAAAAGAAAUCAACCGAGAUUCCCCCAGUAGCGGCGAGCGAACGGGGAGCAGCCCAGAGCCUGAAUCAGUGUGUGUGUUAGUGGAAGCGUCUGGAAAGGCGCGCGAUACAGGGUGACAGCCCCGUACACAAAAAUGCACAUGCUGUGAGCUCGAUGAGUAGGGCGGGACACGUGGUAUCCUGUCUGAAUAUGGGGGGACCAUCCUCCAAGGCUAAAUACUCCUGACUGACCGAUAGUGAACCAGUACCGUGAGGGAAAGGCGAAAAGAACCCCGGCGAGGGGAGUGAAAAAGAACCUGAAACCGU
RNAcentral lists this ribosomal RNA (519 nucleotides) under Escherichia coli. RNAcentral describes it as "partial 23S ribosomal RNA". It matches the Rfam family "Bacterial large subunit ribosomal RNA", at positions 1 to 559 of the family's 2925-position model. RNAcentral also lists the same sequence under 1 other name. Lineage: Bacteria; Pseudomonadati; Pseudomonadota; Gammaproteobacteria; Enterobacterales; Enterobacteriaceae. The record is from RNAcentral.